GGGACGUUAGCUCAGUUGGUUUAGAGCACUACCUUGACAGGGUAGGGGUCACUGGUUCGAGUCCAGUACGUCUCA
RNAcentral lists this transfer RNA (75 nucleotides) under Flavobacteriales bacterium. Its description in RNAcentral is "tRNA-Val". It matches the Rfam family "tRNA". From Rfam's summary of the family: Transfer RNA (tRNA) molecules are approximately 80 nucleotides in length. Lineage: Bacteria; Pseudomonadati; Bacteroidota; Flavobacteriia; Flavobacteriales. The record is from RNAcentral.